RNAcentral lists this ribosomal RNA (142 nucleotides) under uncultured Alphaproteobacteria bacterium. RNAcentral describes it as "partial 16S ribosomal RNA". It matches the Rfam family "Bacterial small subunit ribosomal RNA", at positions 537 to 678 of the family's 1533-position model. The record is from RNAcentral. Lineage: Bacteria; Pseudomonadati; Pseudomonadota; Alphaproteobacteria.
AGCGUUGUUCGGAAUUACUGGGCGUAAAGCGCGCGCAGGCGGUUCGAUAAGUUGGGGGUGAAAUCCCCGGGCUCAACCCGGGAAUGGCCUUCAAGACUGUCGAUCUAGAGGACGAGAGAGGUGAGUGGAAUUCCCAGUGUAG